AACGAAAAUAAAAAGAUAAACUUCAAAUAUCAUCAUAUUCGCAUAUCAUUUUAUCAUUCUGCAUUUUUGUUAAAUAAUAUACAAAAAAUAUUACAGACACACCACUUACAGUUUAUUGGAUAUUCAUUUUAGUAGUCUAUAAUUUAUCAAAAAUUUAUUUUAAUAUUCUUUAGUUUUAAAAAUGAAAAAAUUAAUAGAGGAGAUAAUAGAAAGAGGGAAACGAAAUUAAAGGAUACAAAAGUGAUACAUUUUAAAAAAUAAAAAGAGCAUUUACUUAUAUACCACUUUAUUAUUUACCACUCUUAAAAGUAUAAUAUUAAAAUACUCUUUUAAAGUUCCAAAGUCUUCCAAAUAUACUCCUAUAGUUGAAUUCUGUUAAUGAACUGUUACGAACAAUCGUUAUUUCUAUAGAAUGAUCAUUUUAUCAUUUCAAAUAUACCAUUAGUCAUCUAUUGUCGUUAAUUUUUCUUAUUUGUUCUUAAAUUAGAGAUAAAAUAGAUAUUUUUCACUACUUUUAACUAUCGGAAAAAUUUAACUUAGUUUUAACCCAAAAUGAAUUAACGGGCACUAAUAGCAAGGAUAUUUUUGAAUAACGAAGAAAUAUAUGAUGUGUAUAUUUGAAACAAAAAAUAAAUAAAUCAAAUAUUU
This 648-nucleotide long non-coding RNA is filed under the name Ananas comosus (pineapple). RNAcentral's name for it is "long non-coding RNA (ACOM_LNC007648)". The record is from RNAcentral. Lineage: Eukaryota; Viridiplantae; Streptophyta; Magnoliopsida; Poales; Bromeliaceae.